CACUCCUGCGGGAGGCAGCAGUGGGGAAUUUUGGACAAUGGGCGAAAGCCUGAUCCAGCAAUGCCGCGUGAGUGAAGAAGGCCUUCGGGUUGUAAAGCUCUUUUGUCAGGGAAGAAACGGUGAAAGCUAAUAUCUUUUGCUAAUGACGGUACCUGAAGAAUAAGCACCGGCUAACUACGUGCCAGCAGCCGCGGUAAUACGUAGGGUGCAAGCGUUAAUCGGAAUUACUGGGCGUAAAGCGUGCGCAGGCGGUUUUGUAAGUCUGAUGUGAAAUCCCCGGGCUCAACCUGGGAAUUGCAUUGGAGACUGCAAGGCUAGAAUCUGGCAGAGGGGGGUAGAAUUCCACGUGUAGCAGUGAAAUGCGUAGAUAUGUGGAGGAACACCGAUGGCGAAGGCAGCCCCCUGGGUCAAGAUUGACGCUCAUGCACGAAAGCGUGGGGAGCAAACAGGAUUAGAAACCCGUGUAGUCCCAUGA
Molecule: ribosomal RNA, 475 nt
Filed under: uncultured organism
Description: partial 16S ribosomal RNA
Rfam family: Bacterial small subunit ribosomal RNA
Source: RNAcentral